AUUGAACGCUGGCGGCAUGCCUUACACAUGCAAGUCGAACGGUAACAGGUUAAGCUGCCGCGUGGCGAACGGGUGAGUAAUGUAUCGGAACGUGCCCAGUCGUGGGGGAUAACUGCUCGAAAGAGCAGCUAAUACCGCAUACGACCUGAGGGUGAAAGCGGGGGAUCGCAAGACCUCGCGCGAUUGGAGCGGCCGAUAUCAGAUUAGGUAGUUGGUGAGGUAAAGGCUCACCAAGCCGACGAUCUGUAGCUGGUCUGAGAGGACGACCAGCCACACUGGGACUGAGACACGGCCCAGACUCCUACGGGAGGCAGCAGUGGGGAAUUUUGGACAAUGGGCGCAAGCCUGAUCCAGCCAUGCCGCGUGCGGGAAGAAGGCCUUCGGGUUGUAAACCGCUUUUGUCAGGGAAGAAAAGGUUCUGGCUAAUACCUGGGACUCAUGACGGUACCUGAAGAAUAAGCACCGGCUAACUGCGUG
RNAcentral lists this ribosomal RNA (477 nucleotides) under uncultured bacterium. Its description in RNAcentral is "partial 16S ribosomal RNA". It matches the Rfam family "Bacterial small subunit ribosomal RNA", at positions 30 to 507 of the family's 1533-position model. The record is from RNAcentral.